Molecule: non-coding RNA, 222 nt
Filed under: Lachnospiraceae bacterium
Lineage: Bacteria; Bacillati; Bacillota; Clostridia; Lachnospirales; Lachnospiraceae
Description: T-box sequence
Rfam family: T-box leader
About the family: Uncharged tRNA acts as the effector for transcription antitermination of genes in the T-box leader family. T-boxes are found upstream of many aminoacyl-tRNA synthetase genes and some amino acid biosynthetic genes usually in Gram-positive bacteria.
Source: RNAcentral
GAAAAGGUAAUGAAUGUGUUAGUAGAGAACCGUUUUCUAGCAGAGAGAGGAAAUCAUUGGCUGGAAGUUUCCUUAAGUUCAGACGGUAAUUGAAUUUCCCACAGGAACCGCAGUUUUGAAGAAGAUAUUUGUGUAGAAACUGACGUAUUUGCACGUUACGCAAACCGAGAGCCUGUCUAUGACAGGAAUUAGGGUGGUACCGCGAUUAACCUCGUCCCUUUU